This is a transfer RNA of Camelus ferus (Wild Bactrian camel), 73 nucleotides long. It matches the Rfam family "tRNA". Rfam says of the family: Transfer RNA (tRNA) molecules are approximately 80 nucleotides in length. NCBI's taxonomy places the organism in Eukaryota, Metazoa, Chordata, Mammalia, Artiodactyla, Camelidae. The record is from Rfam.
GAGGGUAUAGCUCAAGUGGUAGAGAGCAUGCUUAGCAUGCAUGAGGUCCUGGGUUCAAUCCCCAGUACCUCCU